UUUUUGGAGAGUUUGAUCCUGGCUCAGGAUGAACGCUGGCGGCGUGCCUAACACAUGCAAGUCGAAUGAUCAGAAGACAGAGGACGGAUGACGGAAGACAGAUAAGACGAUAUAAUAAAUAUAUGAUAAAAGAUGUAACCGACCUAAGAAUUUAUCAAAUCGCUCUUGGUUUGCUUCCGGAAUUAGCUAAAUUGUUACCAAAAGUUCCUUAUAGAAAAAUUCGUUUUCAAACAAUUGAUUCAGCAAAAUCAAUUUCAGCCCAAAUUGCAGAAGGAUAUGCCAAGAAAAAUUCUGUAAAAGAAUUCAAAAGAUUUUUAGAGAUGGCACUUGGUUCGUCUGAUGAGGUGAUAACCCAUUUAAGACAAAUAUAUCUUUUAUAUGUAAAUAAUAUUGAUAGAGAACUGCUGAUAAAACUAGGAAAUGAAUAUAAAGAACUAUCUAAACAAAUAAACAAGACCAUUCAGAUCUGGAAAUAAUCUGUUAUCUGAUAAUCUGUUUUCUGUCUUCUGAUCAUGGCGAACGGGUGAGUAAUGCGCAGAUAACCUGCACCAAACCGGGAAAUACCCAGCCGAAAGGUUGAAUAAUGUCCCAUAUGUGUAUCGUUGCAAUACGAUACAUAAAAAUUCCGGUGGUUUGGGAAGGGUCUGCGUCCUAUCAGCUUGUUGGUGAGGUAAUGGCUUACCAAGGCUACGACGGGUAGCUGGUCUGAGAGGAUGAUCAGCCACAAUAGGACUGAGACACGGCCUAUACUCCUACGGGAGGCAGCAGUUGGGAAUCGUACGCAAUGGACGAAAGUCUGACGUCGCGACGCCGCGUGGAGGAAGACGCAUUUCGGUGUGUAAACUCCUUUUAUAGGGGAAGAUUAUGACGGUACCCUAUGAAUAAGGACCUGCUAACUACGUGCCAGCAGCAGCGGUAAUACGUAGGGUCCGAGCGUUAUCCGGAAUUAUUGGGCGUAAAGGGUCUCUAGGUGGUCAAGCGGGUCUUUGGUUAAAUCCCCACGCUUAACGUGGGUAUCGCCUAAGAAACUACUUGGCUUGAUGGUAGCAGGGGCAGAUGGAAUUCCCGGUGUAGCAGUGAAAUGCGUUGAUAUCGGGAAGAACACCAAUGGCGCAGGCAGUCUGCUAGGCUACUCAUGACACUGAAGGACGAAAGCGUGGGGAGCGAACGGGAUUAGAUACCCCGGUAGUCCACGCCGUAAACGAUGCAAACUAGGCAUCGAGAGUAUCGACCCUCUCUGUGCCGAAGCUAACGCGUUAAGUUUGCCGCCUGGGAAGUACGGCCGCAAGGCUAAAACUCAAAGGAAUUGACGGGGACUCGCACAAGCGGGGGAACAUGAGGUUUAAUUCGACGCUAAGCGAAGAACCUUACCAGGGUUUGACAUCUGUGGAACCUGCCGGAAACGGUGGGGUGCCCGCAAGGGAGCCACAAGACAGGUGGUGCACGGCUGUCGUCAGCUCGUGUCGUGAGAUGUUUGGUUAAGUCCAAAAACGAGCGCAAUCUUUGUCCUGUGUUAAAUUUUGUCACAGGAGACUGCCGUGGUUAACACGGAGGAAGGCGGAGAUGACGUCAAGUCAGCGUGCCUCUUACACCCUGGGCGACACUCGUGUUACAAUGGCCGGUACAAAGGGUUGCGAAACCGCAAGGUCCAGCUAAUCCCGUAAAGCCGGUCCCAGUUCGGAUUGAGGGCUGCAACUCGCCCUCAUGAAGCCGGACUCGCUAGUAACCGUGGGUCAGCCACACCACGGUGAAUACGUUCUCGAGUCUUGUACACACCGCCCGUCAAGCGAGCCGAGUCGGCAACACCCGAAUCCCGAUGUAUUUUGGGAGACGGUGGGGUCGGUAAGGAGCGCUAAGUCGUAGAUCCGAAGAUUAUUGCGACUCUC
Non-coding RNA from Candidatus Berkelbacteria bacterium CG2_30_43_20, 1886 nucleotides. The record is from Rfam. NCBI's taxonomy places the organism in Bacteria, Candidatus Berkelbacteria.